RNAcentral lists this ribosomal RNA (676 nucleotides) under Mycena aff. murina D1.1c. Its description in RNAcentral is "eukaryotic LSU rRNA". The stretch from base 259 to 412 matches the Rfam family "5.8S ribosomal RNA". Lineage: Eukaryota; Fungi; Basidiomycota; Agaricomycetes; Agaricales; Mycenaceae. The record is from RNAcentral.
AGGUGAACCUGCGGAAGGAUCAUUAUUGAAUAUGAUUGGUACUGAUGCUGGCUCUUAACUGAGCAUGUGCUCGUCCAUCUAUUUAUCUUCUCUUGUGCACAUUUUGUAGUCUUGAACGUACCUCUCGCAGUCAAAUGCGGUUUGGGAGCUUGGGCGCAAGCCCUUCUCCUGCUUCUUCAAGGCUAUGUUUUCAUAUACACUAUAAAGUUACAGAAUGUCUUUUAACGAUUGCGCUUGUCGUAGUCAUUAAACCUAUACAACUUUCAGCAACGGAUCUCUUGGCUCUCCUAUCGAUGAAGAACGCAGCGAAAUGCGAUAAGUAAUGUGAAUUGCAGAAUUCAGUGAAUCAUCGAAUCUUUGAACGCACCUUGCGCCCUUUGGUAUUCCGAAGGGCAUGCCUGUUUGAGUGUCAUUAAAUUAUCAACCUUGCUCGCUUUUACCGGCUUGAGUUAGGCUUGGACUUGAGGGCUUGCUGGCUUCCUUCAGUGGAUGGUCUGCUCCCUUUAAAUGCAUUAGUGGGAUCUCUUGUGGACCGUCACUUGGUGUGAUAAUUAUCUAUGCCACUUGACCUUGAAGCAAACCUUAUGGGAACCCGCUCAUAACCGUCUUCGGACAACUUUUGACAUUUUGACCUCAAAUCAGGUAGGACUACCCGCUGAACUUAAGCAUAUCAAUA